AGUGAACGCUGGCGGUAGGCCUAACACAUGCAAGUCGAACGGACGCACAGUAAGAGCUCGCCCUUAAGGGUGGCGAGUGGCGGAUGGGUGAGGAAUACAUCGGAAUCUUCUUAUUCGUGGGGGAUAACGUAGGGAAACUUCCGCUAAUACCGCAUAUGACCUACGGGUGAAAGCAGGGGAUCUUCGCGCCUUGCGCGAUUGAAUGAGCCGAUGCCGGAUUAGCUAGUUGGGGGGGUAAAGGCCCACCAAGGCGAGGAACCGUAGCUGGUCUGAAAGGAUGCUCAGCCACAAUGGAACUGGGAAACGGUCCCGACUCCCACGGGAGGGAACCGUGAGGAAUAUUGGACAAUGGGCGCAAGGCUGAACCAACCAUACCCCGUGGAUGAAGAAGGACUUCGGGUUCUAAAGCCCUUUUGUUGGGAGAGAAAAGCAGCAGGAUAAUACCGCGCUGUUCUGAAGGUACCCAAAGAAUAAGCACCGGCUAACUUAGUG
This 492-nucleotide ribosomal RNA is filed under the name uncultured bacterium. RNAcentral describes it as "partial 16S ribosomal RNA". It matches the Rfam family "Bacterial small subunit ribosomal RNA", at positions 29 to 507 of the family's 1533-position model. The record is from RNAcentral.